RNAcentral lists this ribosomal RNA (460 nucleotides) under uncultured bacterium. Its description in RNAcentral is "partial 16S ribosomal RNA". It matches the Rfam family "Bacterial small subunit ribosomal RNA", at positions 338 to 795 of the family's 1533-position model. The record is from RNAcentral.
CCUACGGGUGGCAGCAGUGAGGAAUAUUGGUCAAUGGACGAGAGUCUGAACCAGCCUAGUAGCGUGAAGGAUGACUGCCCUAUGGGUUGUAAACUUCUUUUAUAUGGGAAUAAAAUGUUCCACGUGUGGGAUUUUGUAUGUACCAUAUGAAUAAGGCUCGGCUAACUCCGUGCCAGCAGCCGCGGUAAUACGGAGGAUCCGAGCGUUAUCCGGAUUUAUUGGGUUUAAAGGGAGCGUAGGUGGAUUGUUAAGUCAGUUGUGAAAGUUUGCGGCUCAACCGUAAAAUUGCAGUUGAAACUGGCAGUCUUGAGUACAGUAGAGGUGGGCGGAAUUCGUGGUGUAGCGGUGAAAUGCUUAGAUAUCACGAAGAACUCCGAUUGCGAAGGCAGUUCACUGGACUGCAACUGACACUGAGGCUCGAAAGUGUGGGUAUCAAACAGGAUUAGAUACCCUGGUAGUC